ACUUUUAUAGGAAACCAGCCUUCCACCUGGUCUUAGGCACCAAGAACCUUGGUGCAACUCCAAGUGAAAGUA
RNAcentral lists this transfer RNA (72 nucleotides) under Uroplatus ebenaui. Its description in RNAcentral is "tRNA-Leu". Lineage: Eukaryota; Metazoa; Chordata; Lepidosauria; Squamata; Gekkonidae. The record is from RNAcentral.